Molecule: transfer RNA, 73 nt
Filed under: Leptolinea tardivitalis
Lineage: Bacteria; Bacillati; Chloroflexota; Anaerolineae; Anaerolineales; Anaerolineaceae
Also listed under: 1 other name
Rfam family: tRNA
About the family: Transfer RNA (tRNA) molecules are approximately 80 nucleotides in length. Their secondary structure includes four short double-helical elements and three loops (D, anti-codon, and T loops).
Source: Rfam by way of RNAcentral
GCCCUCGUAGCUCAAUGGACAGAGCACCAGACUUCGAAUCUGUUGGUUGGGAGUUCGAAUCUCCCCGAGGGCG